RNAcentral lists this ribosomal RNA (370 nucleotides) under uncultured Desulfobulbus sp. Its description in RNAcentral is "bacterial SSU rRNA". It matches the Rfam family "Bacterial small subunit ribosomal RNA", at positions 1014 to 1382 of the family's 1533-position model. Lineage: Bacteria; Pseudomonadati; Thermodesulfobacteriota; Desulfobulbia; Desulfobulbales; Desulfobulbaceae. The record is from RNAcentral.
UUCCAUCUGGAAGAAUCUGGAGACAGGUGCUGCAUGGCUGUCGUCAGCUCGUGUCGUGAGAUGUUGGGUUAAGUCCCGCAACGAGCGCAACCCUUGCCUUUAGUUGCCAGCAGUUCGGCUGGGCACUCUAAAGGGACUGCCGGUGUUAAACCGGAGGAAGGUGGGGAUGACGUCAAGUCCUCAUGGCCUUUAUGACCAGGGCUACACACGUACUACAAUGGCCGAUACAAAGGGCAGCGACACUGCGAGGUGAAGCCAAUCCCGUAAAAUCGGUCUCAGUCCGGAUUGGAGUCUGCAACUCGACUCCAUGAAGUUGGAAUCGCUAGUAAUCGUGGAUCAGCAUGCCACAGUGAAUACGUUCCCGGGCCUU